GACGAACGCUGGCGGCGUGCUUAACACAUGCAAGUCGUACGGUAAGGCCCUUUCGGGGUUACACGAGUGGCGAACGGGUGAGUAACACGUGCGUAACCUGCCCACAACUUUGGGAUAACGCUAGGAAACUGGUGCUAAUACUGGACAUGUGCCCCUGCUGCAUGGUGGGGGUUGGAAAGCUCCGGGGGUUGGGGAUGGACUCGCGGCCUAUCAGCUUGCUGGUGGGGUAGUGGGCUACCAAGGCGGCGACGGGUAGCCGGCCUGGGAGGGUGACCGGCCAAAUUGGGGCUGGGAUACGGCCCAGACUCCUACGGGGGGCAGCAGGGGGGAAUAUUGCACAAUGGGCGCGAGCCUGAUGCAGCAACGCCGCGGGCGGGAUGACGGCCUUCGGGUUGUAAACCGCUUUCAGCAGGGACGAAGCUUUUUGUGACGGUACCUGCAGAAGAAGCACCGGCUAACUACGUG
This 465-nucleotide ribosomal RNA is filed under the name uncultured bacterium. RNAcentral describes it as "partial 16S ribosomal RNA". It matches the Rfam family "Bacterial small subunit ribosomal RNA", at positions 28 to 507 of the family's 1533-position model. The record is from RNAcentral.